This is a long non-coding RNA of Misgurnus anguillicaudatus (oriental weatherfish), 3848 nucleotides long. RefSeq lists it as uncharacterized. The record is from RefSeq and is a predicted model, not a curated record. NCBI's taxonomy places the organism in Eukaryota, Metazoa, Chordata, Actinopteri, Cypriniformes, Cobitidae.
GCUGUGUGGAUGUUCUUACAAAUCUCCUGCUCUUGUAGAGAUGCUCAUCUAGUACAUGAUGGGCAUUGAGAUCUUCAUUUAUAUUCAUCCUAUCCUGUUCGUGGAUGUCCAGGGAUACAGAGGGAACCGGGUGCUUUCUGAUUGAACAAAAACCCAAGAACUUUAAUCCUACAUACAUGACGCAUUUAUCAACAUAUGCAAAGGUAAGUCUGACUCACCCGUGAUCCUGAAUACAAUGAUGAAGAGGAUGGUGAGAAGGAUGAAGCCCGUGUUCCAAACCCAGAUGUUUACAUCAAUGGCCGAAACUCCCAGGAAUACGAAGAUCAUGGUCUCCGAGCCGUUGGCCAUCACCUUCAGGGCGUAACGUAACGUUGACACCGAUUUCUCAUCCAUGUUGGCGUUGAUGUACUUCUGACAGCAGACCCCACAAAAGAACAGGCAUUUAGAGGCGGAUGGAGGACAUAUCCUGCUCAAUGUUUAGGGGUGCCAUCAGAUUGCCAGCUAUACCCAAACAUCUACCCGCCCUUCGACAGAUCCUAUGACUGAUUCCCACACGCCCGCUAAAUCCCCAAACCCAUCUGUCAGAGAUCAUCCACCUUAAUCUUUUAAUCCCAACUACGCCUACUGCUAAACCUGAUCUAACACCCAUUCAGUGGACAACUCUGCACUGUUAAUGCCACAUUGGUUGCCUGGUUCAUGUUUCCAGCUACCAGGUAAAAAGUAAUUUUCCACAAAAAAAUAAACAUAUAUUAGAUAUUAUAACACACUGUAAAAUGAUGUCAAAUCAACAUACAGUAUUGUGUUAGUCUUAGGUCACCACCACCAGACUUGUUGUUUUAGAAGUUUUAUUGUCCAACCAUAUUUAUUUUUUAAUCUAUUUUGUUCAGAUGCAAACAGAAAAUACAGGAAAUAUGUACAAAAAUUAAAAAAAAAAAAAUUUCAGGACUAAAUGUCUUCUUUAGGCAUCGCCGGUGUUUAGUGUGACUUCUCUUGGCACUAAACACAUCUUGAGCAUUUUGAGCAGAAUGAAAAGACUAUUUUCUUUAAAAUUACAAAUUAGGAUUUAAUUUUAUUUAGGUUUAAAAGAUCUUGCAGUUUCCUGCUUUUGCUCAAGUGGAAGGGGAGUUUACCCUAAAAACUUGACACAUCAGUUUACAUUUUUAUACAGUUUUUAAUACUACAUACACAUUGUCUGGUUGUAUUCUAAUAAAGAGACAGAGAAACUAUUAAAUAUGAUCACUAUAACAUUGCAAAAACAACAAAUUUAAUUCUGGCAUGGUGGCCUAAGACUUUUUCACAGUACUGUAUAUUUUAUCAAAUUAACACUUAAUGACAUUUUAAUGACAAUUCAAUUUGUAUCACUGGUAAAAAGUGGUUAUGUUGUCUUGGUAAUAUCAAGUUGUCAUAACAAAGACAUCUCAAACAAUUUCAUCUUUGCAUUAAAAAUGACUUAAUACACAUGACACUUAAACAUGCAUAAAAUCUCCUUCAUGUUCAUGACAUGUGUCAUGUCAGUCAUAUGCACAGCCCUUCAAGUAAAGUGUUACUACAAUUUCAACUUGUUUUUAUAAGUUAUGUCAACUUAUUCCAAGUCAAAACUUAAAAUAGUAGAUUCAAUUGACAUUCAAAACCAAGUUGUUUUAACUUCAUGCUGGAUUUUAUUUGCAGUUUGAGGCAUCAGUUGUGAUAAUCUAGAAUGCAGUAUAUCUGUGAAGCCACUAGGUGGCAGAUAUAAAUAUUGAAACUGCAGGGUGGAGAUGACUUAGCAAAUCUACCUUGAUGUGGACCAGACAGAAUUUUAUUGCUCAUAUUUCUUUUUGAUGAGAACAAAAAAAAGGAUUAAGAAAAGCAAACAUUGUGACAUUUUCAUAGCAAGAAAUGCUUUGCCUCUUUGAAUACAUGUAUUGUAUCUUUGAGCUAUGUAGACUUGGGUCAAAAGGUCAUUUUUUUUCUCUCUUAAAAUGAACCAUUUACAUACACUCAGUUCUUUGUUCUUUAUAUUCGAUAGAGGAAAUUAUCUGAAAAUUUUAUUUAUACAUUAACCCAACAGAGAAAAAUCUAUAAGCAUGGUUUCACAGACAAGGCUUAAGCAUGUUUGAGAAUAAUUUGCACUGUCAUAUACUCUUAGAAAAAAGGACCUUUUGUUGCUGGGGCGGUACCUUUUAAAAAAAGUCCUAAUAGCGUUUAGAGAUGUGUACCUUUGAAGUACCAGUCUACCAAUAGGUACCAAUAUGUACUUUUAGGUAAAAAGUAUUAUUUUUGAAAAGGUACUGCCCCAGGGACAACCAUGUACCUUUUUUCUGAUAUAUCUGCAGCAUUGUUUUGUGUCAAGAUGCACACCAGUAAGGUUUUUUUCUACUUGAAUGUCCUUAUAUCAUUAGAACUUACCUCCUGGCUUAAUCUAAGCCUUGUUUGUGAAACCAGACAGAGUAUUAAUAUUUUUUUGCUAUGUUAAUGCAUGCAUAUCAUUCAUCUUUGCUAUGCAAAAUGCUAUAGAAAAUGGUCAAAAAUUGUCCCAAUCUGUCAUUGGGGCAGUACCCUUUAUAAGCUCAUAAUAUGUAUAAUUUAGGUAAAGAUGUGUGUACAUUUGGUACCUAUAUGAAGCUUUGAGGAACUAAUAUGGACUCUUUAGGUGCAAAUGUGUACUUUUUGAAAGUACCACCCCAGUGACAGCAAGGGACCAUUUUUUCUGACUGUUUAUUAGAGCUUAUAGACGGUUUCAGCAGUAACAACAUAAACAAGCGGCUUUCGUGGUCAACACGUAACUUCCGGUAAACUCUGCUAAGGAUAAAUAACAACAAAGUUCUUUUAAAGUAGUUUAUUUAUAUAACAAGCAAAAUAAACAACACGUAGGAAUUUUUUUGGAUUUUUGACGAGGUAUUUGUUCAACAGUUCAGUUUAGCAACUAGUCAGGGGUGCGUUUCCCAAACAACGACUUAACCCGUUGCUGAACGACCAUAGUACGAUGCAUCGUUGGAGAAACUAACUACCUUGUCACGACUGUUUCCCAAAAGCAUAGUAACUUUGUCGCACAUUCCUAGUUUGAACCUUGUUGGUUUAACAACAUAGUUGUUGAUGUCACGUGGGUGGUGAAGUACUAAUUAAUCUGUGCAAAUCGAUUUAAUGUCAGAUUAUUGCUGUGAAAAACAUAUAUUGCAUUGGAAGACUGAUUUUGUUAUCGUGAUUUAGUUAUCUGUUGUUUAUUUUCAAGAUUUUUAAUUCACGCGCAAGUUCCCUCUUACGUCACUCCUAGGGAUUCUCCAGGGUCUUAAAGCUCCUAGUACUGCGCACAUGCGCAGUUUUCAAAUGCAGCGCUUUCAUUCUGUUUACAAAUUUAAAGACGUAAAAUAAAAUUUUUUAAAUAUAUUUAGAAUGAUGGAUAUAGACUGUACUACAUGUUUUUUGCUUAUUUUGUUCAAAAGUAUGAUCAACGUAAGUCUACAUAUGAUAAUAACAAGGAACGAUGCUUCUAACGACAGGUGAAGAGCUGUCGUUCCAACGACACAAGUUAGCGAUGGAGUUUGCGAAUGUUCAUUUGAACGAUGGUUUCGGGAAACACCAAAUCAUUAAACGAUGUUAGUAACGAUGGAACUUACGAUGUUCGUUGGCUAACGAUGCUUUUGGGAAACGCACCCCUGACCAUUAAAACCAGUAGUAAAGUUCCGACCAGACACGUAAUUACGUCUUCGCACGUGCGUCUGAUGAAACCGUCUAUACGCUGUCAGAAAAAAGGUACAAAACUGUACAUUUGUUUUUAUCGCUGAGGUGUUUUUUGUAUACUAUAAAAAAUUUCUUUAGUAAUGCAGCUAUUUGCCAGUAACUUACUGUAGAUUUAAAUGUAUGUUAUU